UGGGGAAUUUUGGACAAUGGGCGAAAGCCUGAUCCAGCAAUGCCGCGUGUGUGAAGAAGGUCUUCGGGUUGUAAAGCACUUUUGUCCGGAAAGAAAUCCUUGGCUCUAAUACAGUCGGGGGAUGACGGUACCGGAAGAAUAAGCACCGGCUAACUACGUGCCAGCAGCCGCGGUAAUACGUAGGGUGCAAGCGUUAAUCGGAAUUACUGGGCGUAAAGCGUGCGCAGGCGGUUUGCUAAGACCGAUGUGAAAUCCCCGGGCUCAACCUGGGAACUGCAUUGGUGACUGGCAGGCUAGAGUAUGGCAGAGGGGGGUAGAAUUCCACGUGUAGCAGUGAAAUGCGUAGAGUGUGGAGGAAUACCGAUGGCGAAGGCAGCCCCCUGGGCCAAUACUGACGCUCAUGCACGAAAGCGUGGGGAGCAAACAGGAUUAGAUACCCUGGUAGUCCACGCCCUAAACGAUGCUCAACUAGUUGUUGGGGAUUCAUUUCCUUAGUAACGUAGCUAACGCGUGAAGUUGGACCGCCUGGGGAGUACGGUCGCAAG
This 545-nucleotide ribosomal RNA is filed under the name uncultured bacterium. RNAcentral's name for it is "partial 16S ribosomal RNA". It matches the Rfam family "Bacterial small subunit ribosomal RNA", at positions 355 to 892 of the family's 1533-position model. The record is from RNAcentral.